This 446-nucleotide ribosomal RNA is filed under the name uncultured bacterium. Its description in RNAcentral is "bacterial SSU rRNA". It matches the Rfam family "Bacterial small subunit ribosomal RNA", at positions 329 to 792 of the family's 1533-position model. The record is from RNAcentral.
UCCCAGACUCCUACGGGAGGCAGCAGUGGGGAAUAUUGCACAAUGGGGGAAACCCUGAUGCAGCGACGCCGCGUGAGCGAUGAAGUAUUUCGGUAUGUAAAGCUCUAUCAGCAGGGAAGAAAAUGACGGUACCUGACUAAGAAGCCCCGGCUAACUACGUGCCAGCAGCCGCGGUAAUACGUAGGGGGCAAGCGUUAUCCGGAUUUACUGGGUGUAAAGGGAGCGUAGACGGUAUGGCAAGUCUGAAGUGAAAGCCCCGGGCUCAACCUGGGAACUGCUUUGGAAACUGUUAAACUAGAGUGCUGGAGAGGCAGGCGGAAUUCCUAGUGUAGCGGUGAAAUGCGUAGAUAUUAGGAGGAACACCAGUGGCGAAGGCGGCCUGCUGGACAGUAACUGACGUUGAGGCUCGAAAGCGUGGGGAGCAAACAGGAUUAGAUACCCGAGUA